GGGCCGUUAGCUCAAUUGGUAGAGCAACUGACUCUUAAUCAGUAGGUUGAGGGUUCGAUUCCCCCACGGCUCACGA
This 76-nucleotide transfer RNA is filed under the name Acidobacteria bacterium 13_1_20CM_2_60_10. RNAcentral's name for it is "tRNA-Lys". It matches the Rfam family "tRNA". From Rfam's summary of the family: Transfer RNA (tRNA) molecules are approximately 80 nucleotides in length. Lineage: Bacteria; Pseudomonadati; Acidobacteriota. The record is from RNAcentral.